RNAcentral lists this ribosomal RNA (484 nucleotides) under uncultured bacterium. RNAcentral describes it as "partial 16S ribosomal RNA". It matches the Rfam family "Bacterial small subunit ribosomal RNA", at positions 30 to 507 of the family's 1533-position model. The record is from RNAcentral.
AUUGAACGCUAGCGGGAUGCUUUAUACAUGCAAGUCGAACGGACGCGCGGGAUUCGGUCUGGUGGCGUGUGGCGAACGGGCGGGUAAUGUAUAGGUACGUACCCUGCCGCGGGGGAUAACUACACUACGGCGUAGCUAAUCUCACAUCCGCCAUUCUGGGGAACGGCGUGGUUCGUAAGACCUUGCCGUUCUUGCGGGGACGGAAUCGGAUUAGCUAGUUGGUUAGGUAACGGCUUACCAAGGCGACGAUCCGUAGCAGAUUUGAGAGGCCGACCAGCCACACUGGAACUGAGACACGGCCCAGACUCCUACGGGAGGCAGCAGUGGGGAAUUUUGGGCAAUGGGGGCAACCCUGAUCCAGCCAUCCCGCGUGUGCGAUGAAGGCCUUCGGAUUGUAAAACACUGUUAGCAGGAAAGAAACGACGCGUACGAAUACCCCGUGGAACUGACGGUACCUGCAGAAUAAGCACCGGCUAACUACGUG